UACGUAGGUGGCAAGCGUUAUCCGGAAUUAUUGGGCGUAAAGAGCGCGCAGGUGGUUAAUUAAGUCUGAUGUGAAAGCCCAUGGCUUAACCGUGGAGGGUCAUUGGAAACUGGUUGACUUGAGUGCAGAAGAGGGAAGUGGAAUUCCAUGUGUAGCGGUGAAAUGCGUAGAGAUAUGGAGGAACACCAGUGGCGAAGGCGGCUUCCUGGUCUGCAACUGACACUGAGGCGCGAAAGCGUGGGGAGCAAACAGG
RNAcentral lists this ribosomal RNA (253 nucleotides) under uncultured bacterium. RNAcentral's name for it is "partial 16S ribosomal RNA". It matches the Rfam family "Bacterial small subunit ribosomal RNA", at positions 524 to 776 of the family's 1533-position model. The record is from RNAcentral.